Molecule: long non-coding RNA, 1363 nt
Organism: Pieris napi
Lineage: Eukaryota; Metazoa; Arthropoda; Insecta; Lepidoptera; Pieridae
Exons: 3
Source: RefSeq, a predicted model, not a curated record
UAGUAUGGGAUUAUGAGGAUAAAGUUUAUAUAAGGAUUAUGAGGAUUAGAAAUAAAGCCUAAUUUUCUACACACUACAGGCACACGAACACGUAAACAAAGCGGAAGUUCUCUGAGCUACCCCUCAAAAGUCGGUCCUUCCGACGCAAGACAUUGCUGUGACACGCGCGGAAGUGCGCACGCCGCGCGGUCAGCUUCCGCCGCUUUGACCUGCGGAGCCCCGGACUAAUUACUUACAUUAAGGCGCUCCAUACAACUGCGACGCAUACGAUUCAAUUGUAGAAUGAUGCAAAUAAGAUGAAAGCCUACACGACGUCCUCUAGCAAAGGAAAUCGUCUAAGAGCAGUUUUCGGUGACAGCAAUUAAGGAUGGCCAGAGGACAUCUUUGUGUGUGUAUUUGUUAGUCAAAUUCACACUCGACUGCGGAGAUAAGGAGUUGUAAUUAUUUUGGGUACCUGUCGCGUGACACAAGGGCAUGGGCCUCGGUGACCGUUUCCGCCACUUUGUCAAACUGCCCCCGCGCACUGGAGGGUUAUGACGACACAAUCACGGAACUCGCAUUAUGUUUGGAGGCUUUCAGACGCAAACAAAAAUACAUUCACCCCUCUAUCUCAUUCCAUUUGCUAUGAUAUAUCGCUCGGUGUAUUUCUUAAAUUAUAUUUAGAUCAUUAAGAUUUCAAUAGAUGAAUUCCUUAAAAUAUUGUACACACUUUUGAAUAAGCAACAGAUUUAGUUACUAUUACAGAGAUAAUAAACAAAAACUCAUCGCAAGUAUUGAUCUUAAGCUAGCAGAUAAAGGCGCAGCAAGAAGUAGUUUGUAAAUUAUAAAGUGUUGAGUCGUCAUUAAAAGCACGUUCGGCGAGAGGACAGCAGUAACAUUAAGAAACCGUUCUCGGACCUAGAGCGGGUGCUUAUUUGCUUUAGCUUUCAACUCCCCUUUACUUGAUUGUUUGCUUGAUACAGAGUGUUCCAAAGGCUUGUAUAAUAAAGCCUUAUUAACCUUGGGCAAUUUUAGUUAGUGACUAAACGCUUUUCGUUCCUUACAAUUUUAAAAAAAUACCCAAUCUAUAGUUAAUUUAAGCAUUGUAGUCUAUAUUAAAAAUGGUCGUUCAUUUCAUGAGUUGUAUCAGCCUGUAUAUGAAUUUGAGAAAGUAAAAUCAAGUAUAGGUGAGGAGGUGGGGUCAAGUGGUCGAGGUGUUUAAACCUCGUCUUAUGAGAGGUGAAUUUGCCCUUUCCCCCUGCCCCCAACAAGUGGACAUAAUGACCAAAUGUUAUUCCUUCUCUGCCUCACUUUGUUUAUCUUAACACUUUACUAUUUGUUGAUGUUUCAGUUAAUGUGCGCUGUACAAUGUUCGACUAAUGUA